UUAAAUUGAAGAGUUUGAUCAUGGCUCAGAUUGAACGCUGGCGGCAGGCUUAACACAUGCAAGUCGAACGGUAACAUGAGUGCUUGCACUUGAUGACGAGUGGCGGACGGGUGAGUAAAGUAUGGGGAUCUGCCGAAUGGAGGGGGACAACAGUUGGAAACGACUGCUAAUACCGCAUAAUGUUGAGAGACCAAAGCAUGGGACUUUCGGGCCAUGCGCCAUUUGAUGAACCCAUAUGGGAUUAGCUAGUUGGUGGGGUAAGGGCUCACCAAGGCGACGAUCUCUAGCUGGUCUGAGAGGAUGACCAGCCACACUGGAACUGAGACACGGUCCAGACUCCUACGGGAGGCAGCAGUGGGGAAUAUUGCACAAUGGGGGGAACCCUGAUGCAGCCAUGCCGCGUGUAUGAAGAAGGCCUUCGGGUUGUAAAGUACUUUCGGUAGUGAGGAAGGUGGUGUAUCUAAUAGGUGCAUCAAUUGACGUUAAUUACAGAAGAAGCACCGGCUAACUCCGUGCCAGCAGCCGCGGUAAUACGGAGGGUGCGAGCGUUAAUCGGAAUGACUGGGCGUAAAGGGCAUGUAGGCGGAUAAUUAAGUUAGGUGUGAAAGCCCUGGGCUCAACCUAGGAAUUGCACUUAAAACUGGUUAUCUGGAGUAUUGUAGAGGAAGGUAGAAUUCCACGUGUAGCGGUGAAAUGCGUAGAGAUGUGGAGGAAUACCGGUGGCGAAGGCGGCCUUCUGGACAGAUACUGACGCUGAGAUGCGAAAGCGUGGGGAGC
RNAcentral lists this ribosomal RNA (777 nucleotides) under Gilliamella sp. wkB292. Its description in RNAcentral is "bacterial SSU rRNA". It matches the Rfam family "Bacterial small subunit ribosomal RNA", at positions 1 to 769 of the family's 1533-position model. The record is from RNAcentral. Lineage: Bacteria; Pseudomonadati; Pseudomonadota; Gammaproteobacteria; Orbales; Orbaceae.